UACGAAGGGGGCUAGCGUUGCUCGGAAUCACUGGGCGUAAAGCGCACGUAGGCGGGUCUUUAAGUCAGGGGUGAAAUCCCGGAGCUCAACUCCGGAACUGCCUUUGAUACUGGCGAUCUCGAGUCCGGGAGAGGUGAGUGGAACUGCGAGUGUAGAGGUGAAAUUCGUAGAUAUUCGCAAGAACACCAGUGGCGAAGGCGGCUCACUGGCCCGGUACUGACGCUGAGGUGCGAAAGCGUGGGGAGCAAACAGG
RNAcentral lists this ribosomal RNA (253 nucleotides) under uncultured bacterium. RNAcentral's name for it is "partial 16S ribosomal RNA". It matches the Rfam family "Bacterial small subunit ribosomal RNA", at positions 524 to 776 of the family's 1533-position model. The record is from RNAcentral.